AUACGGAGGGUGCAAGCGUUACUCGGAAUCACUGGGCGUAAAGCGCGCGCAGGCGGUCUUUUAAGUUGGAUGUGAAAGCCUACGGCUCAACCGUAGAACUGCAUCCAAAACUAUUAGACUAGAGUGUGGGAGAGGAAGAUGGAAUUAGUUGUGUAGGGGUAAAAUCCGUAGAGAUAACUAGGAAUACCAAAAGCGAAGGCAAUCUUCUGGAACACUACUGGCGCUGAGGCGCGAAAGCGUGGGGAGCAAACAGGAUUAGAUACCCGGGUAGUCC
RNAcentral lists this ribosomal RNA (274 nucleotides) under uncultured bacterium. Its description in RNAcentral is "partial 16S ribosomal RNA". It matches the Rfam family "Bacterial small subunit ribosomal RNA", at positions 523 to 796 of the family's 1533-position model. The record is from RNAcentral.